CAAUGCGGUCAUGGCUUCUGCGACACUUCAAAUCAGGAAUGACAUCGUGGGUUUGGUUACUUUUAUCUCCAUAUGGUGUCCGGAUGCUCAUACGGCCAUAUGCAGGGGGGUGAAAUGACUAUUUCUUUUGAGAGUGUAGCCGUCCUGUUGAAUCUUCCAAUAACAGGGAACCUUGACAUUACUUUGUUUGGUGAGGAAGAGCAAAUGCGUGCCAUUCUUGUCGCCAAGUCGGUAGGGUUUGUUAGGAAAGAUUACGAAACGAACUGAUUUUACGGCUGGUGGGUGUCUGAGUGGUUUUCGAAAGGCUCGGAACUGGAUCAAAUGAACGGUACCCUCUAUGUCACUGCAUUUUUGGAUCUUUGGCUAUCCAUAGAUAUUCUUCAUGAUGGCUCUGGAAAUAAGGAGAUAAGACAGGAUCUCAUCAAACUGGCUAUCAAAUUGGCGAAAGGUGUUGUCCUCCCCAUCAGUGGCUUGUUUCUUGGAUCUUUGUACACCCAUCUGGAUCACUUGACUGCGGACAUGUAUGCUUAUAAUGGUCAUAUGAAAGUAGACUCGUAUGUCCACAUCACUUUUCUUCAAACGUGGUUGUGGGAGCAUUUCAAAAAUUAUGCUCCUAAGCCGCUGGCUUCAUUUCCUGAUUCCUAUGGAGGCUCCAGGAUACUCCGCUGGUUGAACAAGCGUCCAAAAUCUGGAUCGAAGCUCAUCGACUUCCUCGACAAUGCAUAUGCAGUUAAAUUUCGUCCUUGGGCCCUGAUCCAUGCGUCCGUAGUUCAGCCAAACACUUUUGUUGAUGCCCCAAAUAUGACUUUGCUUUCCGCUAGAGAGAAUAUGAGCGUUGGAGAAAUCAUAUUCAUGCGAAGUUGUAUACCCGAACACGUGCCAUUUUUGUUCAGGGGAUCUUAUAAGGCGGUUCCUUAUUAUAUUGACAGCGCUGCUCGGCAUAUGGGUUUUGACCAAGGAGUCCCGUUUCUUCGUCAGUCGGAGGCUCUGAAAGAAUUGUUGUCAGCUGCUCUUGAUGCCAGUGUUCUUGCGCAGGGUAGAAGCCUCCCUUUCCUGCUCUCAGAACGAAUCCCGUCAACGACCUCCAAAUACAAUAUGUUCUGGCAAGAUGAGUUUAUUGCCAUCCAUGGAGUUGUGAAUGACGUGGUGAAAGAUCCUCGUGGCAAGCCUUCUCCUGCGGUUUUGUAGAAACAUCCAUCGUUGAAGGAGCUUCCUACAGUUAAGAGGAAAUCUCUCAGCCCGGAUGUGGACAGUCCUCAGGAAAAGGAGCGAAGGUCUAAAAAUAGUGCGGGUGGUUUUCAUUUGGAUUCGUCAGCUCUCGUGACUUUCAGUUCUUCCAACAUACGGUUAUGCAUGGAUCCUUCUUGAUUUGACUGGUUCACACAAAUCUUCUAUUUCGGUUGAACAUCUUUUCUUCUUUUAUUUCACAACUCAGGGUCUUGACAACAUGAACCCCUUUUCCAGACUCGCGCACAAUCAGAAAUCGGCGUCUAAGUUUCUUGAAGAUGAAGAAGAGUCCGGAGAAGAGGAACGUUCGGGAUCCAGUGGUGAUGCUAGAAGUACUUCUGAAAGUAGCACUAAGUCUUCCUCCAGCGAGUCCGUAGAUGAGUCGGGAGGAACCGUUUCUGAAGAUGGCCCUGAGGUGGAGACUCAUCACGGUGAAGAUGUAGCUUUGACCCCAACCGUAGAAGCCGCGCCUGCUGGUGAUUUGGAAAUGGAGGUUGAAGACAUCGCUGCAAACCAGAUGGUGCAAAGUACUUCGGUGACCGUUGGCGCAAUUGUAGUCAGGAAUCCUCCGCCGGUCACAGAUUCAGUUGCGUGCGCCAUUUUUUCCCUCCAUAUUUGGUUCCUUUUCCAGAUCAUGUGUUGAUUGGAGGCUUCAGUGUGCCAGGAAAAUAUGCGAAAUUAUACACUAAGAUAUGGGAAAGGUAUGGACAUAUCUCCACAACUAAAAAGAUCACUAGACGGUUCUCUCUAGUCAGGCGCGUGGAAGAAUCCUUAUCUUCGACUGACGACAUGUGCAAUGCGACUGGCCAUACCGUUUCCGAGGAUGUAAUCUCGAGCUGGAAGUUCUACCUGGAAAUGUGCGUAAACUUUGAGUUAAACACUCCCUGGUUUGUUGGGGAUUUCACCGAGAUGCAAAAGUUGCAGGCUGAGGCGACCAAAGGCCCCUCCGCGGACAUGAUCAAUCAACAGGAAGCGGAAAUCGAAAGGUUGUCCAAAAAAUAAAAGCUGAAACGGGUGGCUCUCCAAAGCGCGGAGGAGGAUUUCUCUAAGAAGAGCAAGCUAUUGUUGAAUGAUUUUACUUGAAGAUCUUCAGGGCUUCUUUUGCUUAGGUUUUUUUUUUGAAAGGCGAACGAAACGCCUAGUUUUUGGAUUUUGGAUUGGUAGAUAAUUGUUAUCUAUGAGGGUUUUGGAUUAUUCUUUGGAAUGAAUUUUAGAAUAAUGUCGUUUUGAUCACGACUAUAAGUAGCACAAAUAUUCCAGGAGAGUCAUGAAACCUUGAAUGUUGUAUGACGCUAGAAAGUAUGGGAUGAA
RNA transcript from Papaver somniferum (opium poppy), 2538 nucleotides. RefSeq lists it as uncharacterized. The transcript has 2 exons. NCBI's taxonomy places the organism in Eukaryota, Viridiplantae, Streptophyta, Magnoliopsida, Ranunculales, Papaveraceae. The record is from RefSeq and is a predicted model, not a curated record.